RNAcentral lists this ribosomal RNA (1478 nucleotides) under uncultured Bordetella sp. RNAcentral describes it as "partial 16S-23S ribosomal RNA intergenic spacer". It matches the Rfam family "Bacterial small subunit ribosomal RNA". The record is from RNAcentral. Lineage: Bacteria; Pseudomonadati; Pseudomonadota; Betaproteobacteria; Burkholderiales; Alcaligenaceae.
GGUUCGAUCAUGGCUCAGAUUGAACGCUGGCGGGAUGCUUUACACAUGCAAGUCGAACGGCAGCACGGACUUCGGUCUGGUGGCGAGUGGCGAACGGGUGAGUAAUGUAUCGGAACGUGCCUAGAAGCGGGGGAUAACUACGCGAAAGCGUAGCUACCGCACAUUGCCCUUCGGGGGAAAGCGGGGGACCUUUCGGGCCUCGCACUAUUAGAGCGGCCGAUAUCGGAUUAGCUAGUUGGUGGGGUAACGGCUCACCAAGGGCGACGAUCCGUAGCUGGUUUGAGAGGACGACCAGCCACACUGGGACUGAGACACGGCCCAGACCCUACGGGAGGCAGCAGUGGGGAAUUCUUGGACAAUGGGGAAACCCUGAUCCAGCCAUCCCGCGUGCGAUGGAAGGCCUUCGGGUUGUAAAGCACUUUUGGCAGGGAAAGAAACGGCACGUGGGAUACCCGUGCAACUGACGGUACCUGCAGAAGCUAAGCACCGCUAAUCACGUGCCAGCAGCCGCGGUAAUACGUAGGGUGCAAGCGUUAAUCGGAAUUACCGGGGCGUAAAGCGUGCGCAGGCGGUUCGGAAAGAAAGAUGUGAAAUCCCAGAGCUUAACUUUGGAACUGCAUUUUAAUCAUCAGCUUAGAGGUCAGAGGGAGGUGGAAUUCCGCGUGUAGCAGUGAAUGCGUAGAUAUGCGGAGGAACACCGAUGGCGAAGGCAGCCUCUGGGAUAACACUGACGCUCAUGCACGAAAGCGUGGGGAGUAAACAGGAUUAGAUAAUUCUGGUAGUCCACGCCCUAAACGAUGUCAACUAGCUGUUGGGGUUUUUCGGGUCGGUAGCGCAGCUAAUUGCGAAGUUGACCGCCUGGGGAGUACGGUCGCAAGAUUAAAACUCAAAGGAAUUGACGGGGACCCGCACAAGCGGUGGAUGAUGUGAUUAAUUCGAUGCAACGCGAAAAACCUUACCUACCCUUGACAUGUCUGGAAUCCCGAAGAGAUUUGGGAGUGCUCGCAUGAGAACCGGAACACAGGUGCUGCAUGGCUGUCGUCAGCUCGUGUCGUGAGAUGUUGGGUUAAGUCCCGCAACGAGCGCAACCCUUGUCAUUAGUUGCUACGAAAGGGCACUCUAAUGAGACUUGCCGGUGACAAACCGGAGGAAGGUGGGGAUGACGUCAAGUCCUCGCGGCCCUUAUGGGCAGGGCUUUCACACGUCAUACAAAUGGUCGGGACAGAGGGUCGCCAACCCGCGAGGGGGAGCCAAUCCCAGAACCCGAUCGUAGUCCGGAUCGCAGUCUGCAACUCGACUGCGAAGUCGGAAUCGCUAGUAAUCGCGGAUCAGCAUGUCGCGGUGAAUACGUUCCCGGGUCUUGUACACACCGCCCGUCACACCAUGGGAGUGGGUUUUACCAGAAGUAGUUAGCCUAACCGUAAGGAGGGCGAUACCACGCGGCAGGAUUCAUGACUGGGGUGAAGUCGUAACAAGGU